This 578-nucleotide ribosomal RNA is filed under the name Neoscytalidium sp. RNAcentral's name for it is "eukaryotic LSU rRNA". The stretch from base 207 to 360 matches the Rfam family "5.8S ribosomal RNA". The record is from RNAcentral. Lineage: Eukaryota; Fungi; Ascomycota; Dothideomycetes; Botryosphaeriales; Botryosphaeriaceae.
GGCCGGUGAACCUGCGGAAGGAUCAUUACCGAGUUGAUUCGGGCUCCGGCCCGAUCCUCCCACCCUUUGUGUACCCACCUCUGUUGCUUUGGCGGGCCGCGGUCCUCCGCGGCCGCCCUCCGUCCGGGGGGGGGCCAGCGCCCGCCAGAGGACCAUCAAACUCCGGUCAGUGACCGUUGCCGUCUGAAAAACAAUCAAUAAACUAAAACUUUCAACAACGGAUCUCUUGGUUCUGGCAUCGAUGAAGAACGCCGCGAAAUGCGAUAAGUAAUGUGCAUUGCAGAAUUCAGUGAAUCAUCGAAUCUUUGAACGCACAUUGCGCCCCUCGGUAUUCCGAGGGGCAUGCCUGUUCGAGCGUCAUUACAACCCUCAAGCUCUGCUUGGUGUUGGGCACCGCCCUUCCCGGGGCGCGCCUCAAAGACCUCGGCGGUGGCGUCUUGCCUCGAGCGUAGUAGAAAACACCUCGCUUUGGAGCGCACGGCGCCGCCGCCGGACGAACCUUUUGAACUUUCUCAAGGUUGACCUCGGAUCAGGUAGGGAUACCCGCUGAACUUAAGCAUAUCAAUAAGCGGCCGGGA